Molecule: small RNA, 125 nt
Filed under: Marmota monax (woodchuck)
Lineage: Eukaryota; Metazoa; Chordata; Mammalia; Rodentia; Sciuridae
Source: RNAcentral
GCCGGGUGUGGAGGCACAUGCCUGUAAUCCUAGCAGCUUGGGAGGCUGAGGCAGGAGGAUCACAAAUUCUCAGCUAAUCUCAUCAAAAGCAAAGUGCUAAGCAAUUCAGUGAGACCCUGUCUCUA